RNAcentral lists this ribosomal RNA (266 nucleotides) under uncultured prokaryote. RNAcentral describes it as "partial 16S ribosomal RNA". It matches the Rfam family "Bacterial small subunit ribosomal RNA", at positions 524 to 789 of the family's 1533-position model. The record is from RNAcentral.
UACGGAGGAUCCGAGCGUUAUCCGGAUUUAUUGGGUUUAAAGGGUGCGCAGGCGGGAGAUUAAGUCGGCGGUGAAAUUUUGCAGCUCAACUGUAAAAGUGCCUUCGAAACUGGUUUCCUUGAGUGUAGAUGAAGUAGGCGGAAUUUGUGGUGUAGCAGUGAAAUGCAUAGAUAUCACGAGGAACUCCGAUUGCGAAGGCAGCUUACUAAGCUACUACUGACGCUCAGGCACGAAGGCGUGGGGAUCAAACAGGAUUAGAUACCCGU